AGAUUGAACGCUGGCGGCAUGCCUUACACAUGCAAGUCGAACGGCAGCACGGAGCUUGCUCUGGUGGCGAGUGGCGAACGGGUUAGUAAUAUAUCGGAACGUACCCUAGAGUGGGGGAUAACGUAGCGAAAGUUACGCUAAUACCGCAUACGAUCUAAGGAUGAAAGUGGGGGAUCGCAAGACCUCAUGCUCGUGGAGCGGCCGAUAUCUGAUUAGCUAGUUGGUAGGGUAAAAGCCUACCAAGGCAUCGAUCAGUAGCUGGUCUGAGAGGACGACCAGCCACACUGGAACUGAGACACGGUCCAGACUCCUACGGGAGGCAGCAGUGGGGAAUUUUGGACAAUGGGCGAAAGCCUGAUCCAGCAAUGCCGCGUGAGUGAAGAAGGCCUUCGGGUUGUAAAGCUCUUUUGUCAGGGAAGAAACGGUGAGAGCUAAUAUCUUUUGCUAAUGACGGUACCUGAAGAAUAAGCACCGGCUAACUACGUGCCAGCAGCCGCGGUAAUACGUAGGGUGCAAGCGUUAAUCGGAAUUACUGGGCGUAAAGCGUGCGCAGGCGGUUUUGUAAGUCUGAUGUGAAAUCCCCGGGCUCAACCUGGGAAUUGCAUUGGAGACUGCAAGGCUAGAAUCUGGCAGAGGGGGGUAGAAUUCCACGYGUAGCAGUGAAAUGCGUAGAUAUGUGGCGGAACACCGAYGGCGAAGGCAGCCCCCUGGGUCAAGACUGACGCUCAUGCACGAAAGCGUGGGGAGCAAACAGGA
RNAcentral lists this ribosomal RNA (756 nucleotides) under uncultured Duganella sp. RNAcentral's name for it is "bacterial SSU rRNA". It matches the Rfam family "Bacterial small subunit ribosomal RNA", at positions 26 to 777 of the family's 1533-position model. Lineage: Bacteria; Pseudomonadati; Pseudomonadota; Betaproteobacteria; Burkholderiales; Oxalobacteraceae. The record is from RNAcentral.